UUCCCUGGAGCGUGCGUGAUCCCUAUAUUGGUGCUGACCUCACAAGCAUAUUGAAUGGGAAUCAAGCGGCAGAUCGGUGUGCAUGCCCGACGUGUCGGGAAGUCUGAAGACCUGUCCACGGUUCCCCCCUGGGAGACCAGGUUUUGCACCGGUAUCUGGACACGGCGCUUCGGGGU
Molecule: non-coding RNA, 176 nt
Filed under: uncultured Bilophila sp.
Lineage: Bacteria; Pseudomonadati; Thermodesulfobacteriota; Desulfovibrionia; Desulfovibrionales; Desulfovibrionaceae
Description: 6S / SsrS RNA
Rfam family: 6S / SsrS RNA
About the family: E. coli 6S RNA was the first non coding RNA to be sequenced, but its function was unknown until recently. It consists of 184 nucleotides that fold into an extended hairpin structure with a large single-stranded internal bulge.
Source: RNAcentral